Molecule: long non-coding RNA, 345 nt
Filed under: Populus trichocarpa (black cottonwood)
Lineage: Eukaryota; Viridiplantae; Streptophyta; Magnoliopsida; Malpighiales; Salicaceae
Description: long non-coding RNA (PTRI_LNC002399)
Source: RNAcentral
AUGCUACUACCCUCAACAAAAUCCUCAACAAUGCCAAAGUCAAGGAUGUUGUACCAGAUUGCAUGCACAAUGUGCUCCACAUGUUGUGGCAGUACCCCAGUUCCAUCACCACCACCACCCUCCCCGCCGCCACCAGCAGCAUCACCACCUCCACCAGCCACCACCGCCAUCUGCCCGCCACCGCCAUCACCACCACCAUCAGGAGGGGGCUCUUACUAUUACUCUCCACCGCCACCUUCCACUUACACUUACUCCUCACCACCACCACCACAAGGUGGUGUCGUUGGUGGCACUUACUAUCCUCCACCAAAUUACAAGAACUAUCCCACACCUCCACCUCCUAAC